Small nuclear RNA from Aethalodelphis obliquidens (Pacific white-sided dolphin), 102 nucleotides. The record is from RefSeq and is a predicted model, not a curated record. NCBI's taxonomy places the organism in Eukaryota, Metazoa, Chordata, Mammalia, Artiodactyla, Delphinidae.
UUGCUUCAGUAGCACAUAUAUUAAAACUGGAAUGAUACAGAGAAGGUUAGCAUGCCCCCGCACAAAGACGACAUGCAAAUUCAUGAAGCAUUUUACACACAC